AGCGAACGCUGGCGGCAGGCUUAACACAUGCAAGUCGAACGGUCCUUCGGGAUAGUGGCGGACGGGUGAAUAACACGUGGGAACGUACCCUUAGGUUCGGAACAACACAGGGAAACUUGUGCUAAUACCGGAUGAGCCCUUCGGGGGAAAGAUUUAUCGCCUUUGGAGCGGCCCGCGUCUGAUUAGCUUGUUGGUGAGGUAAUGGCUCACCAAGGCUACGAUCAGUAGCUGGUCUGAGAGGAUGGCCAGCCACACUGGGACUGAGACACGGCCCAGACUCCUACGGGAGGCAGCAGUGGGGAAUCUUGCGCAAUGGGCGAAAGCCUGACGCAGCCAUGCCGCGUGGAUGAUGAAGGUCUUAGGAUUGUAAAAUCCUUUCACCGGGGACGAUAAUGACGGUACCCGGAGAAGAAGCCCCGGCUAACUUCGUGCCAGCAGCCGCCGUAA
RNAcentral lists this ribosomal RNA (447 nucleotides) under uncultured bacterium. RNAcentral's name for it is "partial 16S ribosomal RNA". It matches the Rfam family "Bacterial small subunit ribosomal RNA", at positions 29 to 523 of the family's 1533-position model. The record is from RNAcentral.